This 407-nucleotide ribosomal RNA is filed under the name Verrucomicrobiota bacterium. Its description in RNAcentral is "Verrucomicrobia bacterium partial 16S ribosomal RNA". It matches the Rfam family "Bacterial small subunit ribosomal RNA", at positions 355 to 776 of the family's 1533-position model. Lineage: Bacteria; Pseudomonadati; Verrucomicrobiota. The record is from RNAcentral.
UGGGGAAUAGUGGACAAUGGAGGAAACUCUGAUCCAGCAAUUCUGUGUGUGUGAAGAAGGUUUUAGGACUGUAAAACACUUGUAGUAGGGAAGAAAAAAAUGACGGUACCUACAGAAGAAGCAACGGCUAAAUACGUGCCAGCAGCCGCGGUAAUACGUAUAGUGCGAGCGUUAUCCGGAAUUAUUGGGCUUAAAGGGCAUCUAGGCGGUAAGACAAGUUGAAGGUGAAAACCUGUGGCUCAACCAUAGGCUUGCCUACAAAACUGUUGAACUAGAGUACUGGAGAGGUGGGUGGAACAACACGAGUAGAGGUGAAAUUCGUAUAUAUGUGUAGGAAUGCCGAUGAUGAAGAUAACUCUCUGUACAGAAACUGUCGCUGAAAUGCGAAAGCUAGGGGAGCAAACAGG